UCAGCAUUGAGGCUAGUGUUGUUCAUUCAACAAGCCAUCCAGCCUUGUUAACAUAUCGGCGAGAAGCUAAUGAUGCAUAUGUUGAUUUUAAUGAUGCUUUUGCUGAUCUCAGCUGAAAUAGAAGCCAACCCGUUCACAAGAAGAGCUAAAGGUUGUGCCGAUCGGAAUCAAAAUUGUCACUGGAGAGUGGCUUGUUGUAGCCUUAAGGAUAAAUGCAAGAUGCGUCCAGAUCACAGAUUGCCAAGAUGUUUAUCAAUUUGAUUUGCCUAUGUUAAACUAUUAAACUCUGGAUGUCUUUAA
Molecule: long non-coding RNA, 300 nt
Organism: Physella acuta
Lineage: Eukaryota; Metazoa; Mollusca; Gastropoda; Physidae
Source: RefSeq, a predicted model, not a curated record